AAGUGAUUAUCGGUGAUUGUUACAUAGCUGUAUAAUGAGUUAUAUCUUGGUUCUUGCUGUUCUUUCAUACUCAAGAUUGCUGGAUUGCCAAGUUACGUUUAUUAAUAGUGCUGUCGGGCAAAUGGAAAGGAGGAUUCCAUCCUAAAAAACACUCGCAAACAGGUUCUUGGAGGAAACACAUCAAGGAAAAUAUGAAACCUGUGUUAUGCUGUGGGAACAGAUUUUCCUCAGCAGGGAGUUUUCAAUACCAUAUACUAAAAAAACAUAUUACCGCUAGAAGAUACAAUUUAAGCAAAUGCUGUAUAUCACUAGAAGCUUAAACAAAGAGGUCAUCAUUUUCAGAUAGUUGGCUUACAAAGCAGAAGUUCUGUGGUGGUGAGGUGUUUUGAAAGUCGAGAUUUGUAAAAUUGAAGAUGUGAGGGAUUUCCCAGAGGUUAUUCCUAAAAAAAAUUAAGAUGAAAAAAAAAGAGGGCAUACCAGCGUGCGAGAAUUGCCUCUCCCUUCCUUGAGGUCGUGGAAGAAGUUCUCUCUAAGAAAGAAGAUGAAGAUGAAGAGGAAGACGAAGAGAUGUUGUCCUCAGAUGAGGAAGAAAAGAACUAUGAGAAUUUCUGUAGAUUAUCAUCAGGGAAAUUAUUCUUUCUUUAAAUGCGCCUAAGCACAUAGUAUUAUAAAGGGCACUAAAUAAAAAACAACAAAUAAAAAACAACAAAUUGUAAAUAAGUGGGAAACUUAAGGAAAACCGUUAAUUUGCACCACAUAGAUAUACAUAGUUUUUUUUUAGAUCUUUGUCGUUUAUUCACAAUAUUAAUAGAUAUGUUCGUUGGUCAGUAACUGCGCUCAAUUUUUUUUUCUCAGUAUCUAUGCUUAGUCACGCCGACUUAUAACCACAAUUUACUCUGUAGAUUGGCAGGACAAUCUCGAACUGUUUUGAAUCCUAAGGGAAGGGCUCUCAUUUCCCUUCCAGUAAAAGUUGAUUAAUCAUGGAUUUUAUGAGUGAGUAUUCGUUUCAAAGUAAUAGAAUAUUUUAUUCUCUCUUAAGAUUUUCUGAAAUUCAAGAUAUUGUUUCUCAAUUUUCACAUAUCCAAAAACGCAAAUUGGUUGUUGUUUUUUAUUUAAGAGAUAUAAAACGGUGCGCGUGUCUUUAUGCCAUUCUAUAGGAACUUUGCGAACGAAAAUUUACUCUGCGCCUUUUCAGUGUGUAAAUCUCAGUAUGUAUAUUAUAAAUCAUAAUAUUAAAUGAUAAUAAACAGUGGUACCUCGUGGUACCUAAGAAAUGAG
Orbicella faveolata is the source of this 1278-nucleotide long non-coding RNA. NCBI's taxonomy places the organism in Eukaryota, Metazoa, Cnidaria, Anthozoa, Scleractinia, Merulinidae. The record is from RefSeq and is a predicted model, not a curated record.